Molecule: long non-coding RNA, 520 nt
Filed under: Heterocephalus glaber (naked mole-rat)
Lineage: Eukaryota; Metazoa; Chordata; Mammalia; Rodentia; Bathyergidae
Description: lncRNA (ENSHGLG00100044999.1)
Source: RNAcentral
CUGGGACUCCUGUGUCCUGGGCCAGGCUUGGGCGCCAGCCUGGGAGCCUCCAGCCCAUCUAGCAGGGAGCUGCAAAGCCAGCCCGCAUCAGAGCAGCCUCAGCCACGGCCGGUGAGGGAGGUGCAGAUGUUCAGGUCAUGCGGGAAAUCUAAUCGCAUCAGGAACGACAGGUCUGACUGAUGAACACCUGAUGAACAUCUAAUGACAAAGGCUCAAGUUACCCACUAAGCAACUGCGACCUUCUUGGUGCCAGCAAAGCUCUGCAUGGCUGGUCUUGAGACAAUGGCCUGAGGAUGAGCCUGCUGGCCUUGUGUAUUCUCUACCCUCCCUUCAUCCAGGAAGCAGAGGGGUCCAGGCUGCCUCCCCUAAACACCAAUAUGCCCAUCUCAAGGGCCAUUGAGGUAAACUAGGAGUUAUAGAACUGUGCUAAAUUUUAUCUAUAAAGGUCUUUACCAAAUAUUGACUCAGAAAGAAAGGACUCCACCUGCCCGCGUAAUUAAGGGAAGGCACCCUGGAGGAG